RNAcentral lists this ribosomal RNA (860 nucleotides) under uncultured bacterium. Its description in RNAcentral is "bacterial SSU rRNA". It matches the Rfam family "Bacterial small subunit ribosomal RNA", at positions 8 to 913 of the family's 1533-position model. The record is from RNAcentral.
AGAGUUUGAUCCUGGCUCAGGAUGAACGCUGGCGGUAUGCUUAACACAUGCAAGUCGAACGAAAGUUUUUAACUUUAGUGGCGAACGGGUGCGUAAUACGUGAGAAUCUGCCCUUAGGAGAAGAAUAACUGCUGGAAACGGCUGCUAAAUCUUCAUAUGUCGAGAGAUGAAAUAGCUUAGGCUGCCUAAGGAUGAGCUCGCGCCUGAUUAGCUAGUUGGUGAGGUAAUGGCUCACCAAGGCCACGAUCAGUAGCUGGUUUGAGAGAACGAUCAGCCACACUGGGACUGAGACACGGCCCAGACUCCUCCGGGAGGCAGCAGUGAGGAAUUUUCCGCAAUGGGCGAAAGCCUGACGGAGCAAUACCGCGUGAGGGAUGACGGAUUUUGGUCUGUAAACCUCUUUUCUCAAGAAAGAAGUUCUGACGGUACUUGAGGAAUAAGCAUCGGCUAACUCCGUGCCAGCAGCCGCGGUAAUACGGGGGAUGCAAGCGUUAUCCGGAAUCAUUGGGCGUAAAGCGCCUGUAGGUUGUUUAUUAAGUCUGUUGUUAAAGACUAGGGCUUAACCCUAGAAAAGCAAUGGAAACUAAUAGACUCGAGUAUGGCAGGGGUAGAGGGAAUUUCUAGUGUAGCGGUGAAAUGCGUAGAUAUUAGAAAGAACACCGGUGGCGAAAGCGCUCUACUGGACCAUUACUGACACUCAGAGGCGAAAGCUAGGGUAGCAAAAGGGAUUAGAUACCCCUGUAGUCCUAGCCGUAAACGAUGGAUACUAGAUGUUGUGCAUUAAGUACAGUAUCGUAGCUAACGCGUUAAGUAUCCCGCCUGGGGAGUACGCUCGCAAGGGUGAAAUUCAAAGGAAUUGA